GUUGUCGCAUCUUGCCUCUCUUUAUAAUUUUGCCAAUGAAGGGGAUGUUGGGCGCAGCUUGAGCGCAAUGUUUUAACCAAAAAUAUAUUGGUAUCAUGAAAGUAUAAGGACUUGAACGACUUCGGUUGUUCACCUACUUCGCGAUAUGUCUGCAGCGAUGCUGAGCACUACCAGCAAGCUGAAUGUAUUGGUCAACAAGCUGCACGAGUACAUAGCUCAUUCUACUCCUGAGGACAGCAAUGGCACUCCAACCUCAGAGGAUGCUGAUGAUAUUCUUUUUACAGGUCUGACAAACAGGAGCUGUUCUGUGGGAAACUCAACAGAGCAUGCUGCGACAAAGGCUGGAGUGGAUACCAAAAACUCAAGAAGAAAACCAUCUGUUGUCAUAAAGCAUUCUGGGCUCGAUGAAUCUGGGGAUUCAAGUGCAAGUGAGGACUUGGAUUUACCAGUCAACGCAAAUGGUCACCCUGAUAUCACUAGAUUGCCAAAAGGCACUGUACUGGUGAGGCCUGAAGCUGUUGAUAAUGGAAGAGAUGACUUCAGGGGUCCUGAGUUUCGCAGCCGGAAAUCGGGCGUACUUUCGAGAAGACGUGGAGGAGUUGAACACAUGGGAAUUGUCAGUUGCACCGCAUGCGGCCGACAAGUUAACCACUUCCAGAGAGAUUCCUUUUAUCGACAUCCAGCUCUGAAAGUACUUAUUUGCAAGUCUUGCUACAAGUAUUACUUAAGUGAUGACAUCAGUAAGGAUGGAGAUGGAAUGGAUGAGCAAUGCAGAUGGUGUGCUGAAGGAGGCAACUUGAUCUGUUGUGACUUCUGUAGUAAUGCAUUCUGCAAGAAGUGUAUUCUAAGAAAUUUAGGAAGGAAGGAGCUGUCUGGCAUCUUGGAGAGCAAAUGGUACUGCUAUGUGUGUAGCCCGGAGCCCCUUUUUGACCUGGUGGUGGCCUGUGACAGUGUCCUCGAGAACAUGGAGCAUCUGUGGUAUCAGCAGCGCAAGAAGAACCGAGUAGAGCCGGAGAAAUCUGAACUUUAUCACAUGUUGCCACACUUACCUCAAAACAUUCCUUUGGAUACAUGGGAUCACACUGGUAUGGAUGGUAAUGUGGUGUUCAACUAUAACGCACUGCAGAUUUCUAAGAAUCUUACCAAAAAGGCCAAACAUUUAGUGGAUUCAACAAACAUCUUAAACCGGACAUUUGUCAAUUUCAUUCAUACUGUGACAACAAACAAGCAAACACCUGCUGUUCGCAAUCUGUACUUGAACUCCUUUUUGUCAGUAGUUAAAGGUUUGCGAAAAUCACUUGCCGCACUUGAGGAUAGCCUUAAGGAAGAAUUCAGUGACCUGGAUGUCAUGAGCUGUUGGCAAAAGUUAUUUAGUGAUGACUUUGAUGCACAACCUGUAACAGAAGCAGAUGCAGAUAUCUCUGAUGAAAGAUGCUUGAGUGACUUGCAGAAAUUGGCAGCUGAACAUUUGGAAGAUUAUGAUUCUGACUCCAAGGGCUGCACAGAUGGGAGAACUGCACAUGCCUGCACUGGUGAAAACAUGGAUUCAGAUUUAAAUGAAGCCAGGCAGAGUGCCCAAAAGAUUGGCCCGAAGCCUUCUGAAAGCGGUUUCAACAUGACUAAAAAACUAGUAGUGAAACUUACUCCUGUACCAAUGGAACAGGGGCCAUCCUCUGAUGCUCCGAAGAUAGAGACGGACAUCCACAUAAACGAUAAGUCAGAGGUAAAGGAUGUAUCAGAAGAUGAAGAGACAGGUGUUGUAGGUGCUAAAGCUGACAGCAAGAUGAGCAACGACAACUCUAGUGCAUCUCUACACCCAGAAGAGGAACAAGGCAAUAGACGAUCUCCUCGUGUGAAGACAACACCUUUGCGUCGACCAAGUGAUGUCAAGGCCAAAACACCUCGUUCUGCAGCAGACAGUGACAGUGACUCUGACCCCGAGGAAACCUCCAGCACAGUACCAGCCAAAAACACAGAAGAACAAAGUCUGAGCAGAGCAAGAGACGACUCUGACUCAGAUGAAGUCCCUGCAGCUCUGCUUGAGCGAGCAGCUAUGACACAAAGCUCUGAUGAACCCCAGAGUGAUGAGAAUGGCGGAGAAGCAUCAACUAAGGUGGCCAAGAAAUGUCUCUUCUGGCUCACUAAGAACACCCCAAUCUCACCGGAGAAGAUGCGCUGCAAACGUAAGAUGCUGGACCGUUCCCCCGAGUCUGACUCAAGUAACAGAAGAGUAAAAUCUCGAAGAGAAAGUGGGACAGAUUCCUCUAGUGAUGAUGUGGACUCGCAGAAGAAAAUAAAACACUUGAAUACGCUGAGGCCAAUAGGGAAGUCUCACCUUGUCAAAAGAGAGGAUCAAGAUGUGGCUAGAAAGCAGGGUAGCAUACAGGCUGGAAAGUCUAAGGCUAAAACUCGUCGGAAAGCAAUGGAGUCGUCAUCGUCCACAAGCGAAGAUGAAGAUGACGACGACGAUGACUUUGGGAGUGAAGGAAGUGAUCAGAAGAUGAAGCCAAUCACUGAAGAUGUGGCUUUACUUGGAGCAGCAGCGUUCCACCAAUCUUCAGGAGAUGAGGAGCAAUCUGGGCCCUCGUGGGCAGCAGAAGAAGAUGAUGAUCCAGAAAAUAGAAUCGCUAAGAAAAUGCUAUUGGCUGAAAUCAAAGCCAACUACUCCUCGGGCGAAGAUCUGUCUUCGGAUGAGGAAACGCAAGAGGAUGAAUCUGACUCGGAGGGUGAGAAGGAGUUCAAACAAGGCAAUAAGGAUAAUGAAACGGAUGAAAAUGGAGAAGACCUGACAUCAGACUCAUCUGACACCACGUGUGAUGGGCCCAACUCCAGACACCAUCUUCUCCGCCACAAACUAACCUUAGAUGAGGGAACGCCAAGUGACAAGGCCGAGAGUGACGUAGGAAAGCCGGAGAGCAAGCGAAAAGCCAGCAGCAAACACCUGGGCUCUGAUAGUGAAAGUGAUGGUGACAGUAACGAGUCUGAGCCAGAAGAUCUUGGGAUGAGCGAGGAGCUGAGUCAGUCCGAGGAUGAGGCCGGUGAAGAUGGACUCAAAAGCUCCAGAUUAUCCAGUAAAGAGAAGGAGGCAUCGCGUAGUUAUGAAAAGAAGAUAAAAGUGCCCUGCAUUUGGUUGUCUGACUCCAGCAGUGAAAAGAGUGAUAAAGAGGAUGGAGAUGAGAACAGCGACAGUAAAGGCACCCCAAAAGGACGCAAAAAGAUCCGGGAUAUCAUUGAAGAUGAAAAUCUCCGUGCUGAGACCCAGGAAGCCCUCAGAGAGGAGGAGGAGAGACGUCAGCGGUUGGCAGAAAGGAAACAACAGAUGGAGGACAGGAGAGAGAUAAUUGAUGGAAAGGAUGAGCUGUCUCAAGUAGCAUGUCCCAUCACCACCAAGCUGAUUCUGGAUCAAGAUGAGGAAACCAAGAAUCCUCUUGUUCAGGUGCACAGGAACCUGGUGACGAGACUGAAGCCUCACCAGGUGGACGGAGUCCAGUUUAUUUGGGACAGUUGUUGUGAGUCUGUAAAGAAAGCCAACUCCUCCCCUGGAACAGGCUGUAUACUGGCACACUGCAUGGGCCUGGGGAAGACUCUGCAGGUGGUAACUUUCCUCCACACGGUGCUGCUGUCAGAGAACCUGAAAUUCAGAAGGGCCCUGGUCGUGUGUCCACUUAAUACUAUCCUCAACUGGGUCAGCGAGUUCAAGAAAUGGCAAAACAACAUGGGAAAGGAUAAAGUGACAGUUACCGAACUGGCUACAAAAAAGCAUCCUGCAGAACGACUCAGGGCUCUGCAGCGGUGGCAGAGCGAUGGGGGUGUUAUGAUAAUGGGGUAUGAGAUGUACCGCAUCCUGUCACAAGCAGAGAAAAUGAAUGAGGAGUGCAAGAAAGAGUUACAGAGCAUACUGGUGGAUCCAGGUCCAGACUUUGUGGUUUGUGACGAGGGACACAUCCUGCGCAACGAAGUGACCAAAAUCUCCAAAUCUUUAAAUGCCAUCAAGACCCAACGAAGAGUGGUGCUAACUGGCACACCACUACAAAACAACUUAAAUGAGUAUCACUGCAUGGUCAAUUUCAUCAAAAAGAAUCUACUGGGCUCACUGAACGAAUUCCGAAACCGUUUCAUCAACCCCAUACAGAACGGCCAAUGUGCUGACUCCACAUCAAGAGACGUCCGAAUCAUGAAGAAGCGAGCACAUGUUCUUCAUGCAAUGUUGGUCGGGUGUGUCCAGAGAAGAGAUUACUCAGAGUUGACUCAGUUUCUGCCUCCUAAAUACGAGUAUGUGCUGGCAGUGAGGGUUUCACCACUUCAGUAUACGUUGUAUCGCUACUACCUCGACCACGUCACCAGUAUAGGCUCCAUGACUAACAGAGCAACGGGGAGGAUUGGAGCAAACCUGUUCAAGGACUUUCAGGUGCUCAGCAGAAUUUGGACUCAUCCCUGGUGCCUUCAGCUCAGCUUCAUCAGCAAAGAAAACAAGGCAUAUUUUGAAAAGAAGAGAAUUAAAGCGGCAGCUCUGCUGAGAAAAGAAGAAACCACUGUGGUUGAGCGUGGACUGCGAGAGAACGAAGGAAAAGAAGGGAAUACCGAUGACAGCAGUACAGCAGUUAUUGUUGGAAAGAAAGCAACCAUCAGCUCGAAGUCUCAGAGUCUAGAUGAGGGCUGGUUCAAGAAUCUGCUGACUGAAGAAGAUGCCAAAAUCCUGGAGCACUCGGGGAAGAUGGUGCUCUUGUUUGAAAUCCUCAGAAUGGCUGAAGACCUGAACGAUAAAGUGCUUGUGUUCAGUCAGUCGUUGAUCUCAUUAAAUCUAAUUGAGGAUUUCCUCAGGACUUUUCACCAUGCCAGAGACCCAUCCUCAUUCAAAGCGGGUAGCUGGAUUAAAAACCUUGACUACUAUCGUCUUGAUGGUUCCACCAGUGCUCCGCUAAGGAAGAAAUGGGCAGAUCAAUUCAAUAAUGCCAGCAAUGAUCGCGGCCGAUUGUUUCUCAUCUCAACAAGAGCCGGCUCACUUGGCAUCAACCUCGUUGCCGCCAACCGGGUCAUCAUCUUUGACGCCUCAUGGAAUCCCUCAUAUGACAUACAGAGCAUAUACAGGGUGUACCGCUUCGGUCAGCUCAAACAAGUGUUUGUGUACCGCUUCUUGGCUCAGGGCACCAUGGAGGAGAAGAUCUAUGAUCGCCAGGUGACCAAACAGUCUUUGUCCUAUCGAGUGGUGGAUCAGCAGCAGAUUGAGAGGCACUUCACCCUUUUUGAACUGACUGAACUUUACGUGUUUGAGCCAGACCUGCUGGGCGACCCAAACUCUAAGAAAAGCAAAAGAACCACCCCUGUUUUGCCAAAGGAUAAGGUCCUAGCACAGCUAUUACAAACCUGUAAAGACCAGAUAGUGUCUUUCCACGAGCAUCAAUCUCUGCUGGACCAUAAACAAGAGGAGGAGCUCAGUGAGGCAGAACGCAAAGAUGCCUGGGCCGAGUAUGAGGCCGAGUCUACCAACCCUCCACCCAGCUCAAGCCUAAACAGCUUGGAUACGAAAACCAACGAACAGCUAAUGGUCUUUGCAGGAAUUGCUGAACAGCAGCAGAGCAAAUGUAGCGGAGGCCUUUAUGGCAACGCAGAGGACGACUUCUCACACUAUCGAGGAUUACAUGUUACGAGUGUGGCAACAGUAUCCUCAGCUGCCUGAGGCCACGGUUAAGACCAAAGCUAAGAUUUGGAAAGUGUCUGAUGAGAAGGAGAAGGAACGUAGACAGGCCUUUUAUCGAGACAUUUUUGCACAGCAACAAACGCUUACACAUAGCAUUCAGGCCAUACUGAAGAAUCGAAGGAUUCAAGUGAAGCAGCCGACCGUGACCACUGUGACCCAGCCUGGACAGACUUGAAGAAAAUCAUGUUUUGGUUGGAAAACAAAAUGAUGCCUCUCCUCUUUAUCACUGCUCUACCAGUGAAUUGAAUGUAUGUUUAACAAUAUGGAAAAAUAACAGUCUGAGCUCCUAUAUCAUUAAAACAACCUACCAGCAGCACAUUAUCAGAUGUUAUAGAACCUUAUUUCCAAUUCUUAGGAUUUCAAGUAAUGUAAUUUCAGUUGCAAUGUUCAGGUGUACUAACCAUUUUGUUUUGUAACUUCUCAAGCACUUUAACUAACACCAAGUUAGGUUUAACAAAUGUCUUUUAAGAGUUUGCAAAAGAAACGGGAGUUGUUCAACUGCUUCAUACCAAAAACUUCUUGCGUCUGAACAUCAAUUUGAUGGUUUACUGUACCUGUAGCCAUACUGUACCUGCCUUACUGUUUAACCUCAAUGUUUUUCUAUUGAAUUGUGUUUAACAUUGUAUGGGUUUGUUACCAGUUGUUAUAAUUAUGUAAUAAAUUGACAUAACUGAAAUUGGUUCUUAUUUUUAAAUGUGUGUGUUUGUGAACCAGCACAAAGAUUCAGGCCAUGACAGAGAUAGCAAAGAUCUGUCAAAAGAGAUCAAAGUUCUAUCAGUGAGAAUAUCUGUUCAGUGUUAUAAACCCUUAAAAAAAGUCCUUUCAGUUGUGCAGGACAAUUAAUUUUGUAAGGGAACAAAUUUUCUUAUUUUUUCAAGAAUAUCCUUCCCAGAAAUUGUGUGCAUAUGUAGCUUAAAUGCUGUUAAUGUGUGUAUCUCGCUACAGUGUCGGUCAUGGUAUUAGCCAACAUAACUCUCCCUUCCGAGUUUCCAAGUAGAAACAGAACAGCUGUUCAGCCACAAGUUGUUCCCCUGAGCGGAAGGCUCCAUGCCCAGAAGUGCAUUUGUUAAUUAAUGAAAGCAAGCCAGCUGCAGUGGUGUAAAAACCCUUCAACGUUUCCCUCCAGCUCCACUUCAACUGACAAUAGUGCAAAGGUAUCAGUGCGUACAAAACUACGCAAAAAUGUAAACACAGAAUACCAUUCUUAUAAAUUAUAUUUUUAGAUGAUAUAAAAGACAGACUGGGAAAAAAUUGAGUAACAGUCUUUGUGCACAUGUAGAUACAGCAGUUCAUACAAAAGUUGGCAGUUUUACUAUUAUAAAAACGGUGUCGGUGUUCAUGAACUUUUAAUGCACAAUCACCAUGAAAGUGGUUUGGAUUUGUGUAAACAUACAUACAAAUAUCCUUAGUCUGUCCAAUUUAUCUUAGAUGAUAAGCAUUGUUCCCUUACACAAAUGUUAUCCAAGAUAAAUAGCUUUUAUGCUUGAGUUUGGGAUACAGUACAACCUCAAAAGAGAAAUUGGUUCCACUUCUGUUUAAACAGUAGAAAUUGUUAGAUUUUAAUGCAUUAUGUAGAUCAACUGUAUCAACUAUAAUGCUUAAAAUGCACUGGAAACGUUGAGUUUAAAGUCGAGCAGGAAAGAGAACACAUUUGAACAUAUGGAUUGGAAAUGUGAAAUGGCAUUUAACCACCAGCUCUGAUUAUGAUGACAUGCAUUUAGCCAGUCAUGUCCUCUACUUGCGUAUUGUCUUUCAGGGUACAGGAGUGUAUCCCAACAUGCACUGGGCAGAAGAGACAACAGUCCAUCAAAGGUUUAACAAUAUAUGGUUAACAUGUGGAUCGCAUUUCAGUUUAAAAUAGUUGCUUGACUUGUGUUUAGAAAGGAAAAGAUGAUACACACACUCACAGGGAGAAAACUCCACAACAAAUAAAACAAGUGAUGUGCUCUCACAUAACCAAC
This is an RNA transcript of Sander lucioperca (pikeperch), 7659 nucleotides long. It is a transcript of the gene named transcriptional regulator ATRX-like, with no coding region annotated. NCBI's taxonomy places the organism in Eukaryota, Metazoa, Chordata, Actinopteri, Perciformes, Percidae. The record is from RefSeq and is a predicted model, not a curated record. The transcript has 35 exons.